This 633-nucleotide ribosomal RNA is filed under the name uncultured marine eukaryote. Its description in RNAcentral is "SSU rRNA". It matches the Rfam family "Eukaryotic small subunit ribosomal RNA", at positions 616 to 1248 of the family's 1831-position model. The record is from RNAcentral.
CGGUUAAAAAGCUCGUAGUUGGAUCUCGGCGGGCAGGGGGUGGUUCGCUCUUCAGCGCUACUGCCCCGCUUUGCCCGUGUGAUUGGCGGAGGUUUCGGGGUGCUCUUCGUUGAGUGACUCGGAGCGCCGUCAGGUUUACUUUGAAAAAAUUAGAGUGCUCAAAGCAGGCUUUUCACGCUUGAAUAUUCGUGCAUGGAAUAAUGGAAUAGGAACUCGUUUCUAUUUUGUUGGUUUUCGGAAAUCGAGUUAAUGAUUAACAGGGACAAUUGGGGGCAUUAGUAUUCAGACGACAGAGGUGAAAUUCUUGGACCGUCUGAAGACUGACUACUGCAAAAGCAUUUGCCAAGAGUGUUUUCAUUAAUCAAGAACGAAAGUUAGAGGUUCGAAGGCGAUCAGAUACCGCCCUAGUUCUAACCAUAAACGAUGCCGGCUAGCGAUCUGCCGAGUUUUUUUUGUAGGCUCCGCAGGAAGCUUUCGGGAAACCAAAGCUUUUGGGUUCCGGGGGAAGUAUGGUUGCAAAGCUGAAGCUUAAAGGAAUUGACGGAAGGGCACCACCAGGAGUGGAGCCUGCGGCUUAAUUUGACUCAACACGGGAAAUCUCACCAGGCCCGGACACUGGAAGGAUUGACAGAU